Molecule: ribosomal RNA, 520 nt
Filed under: uncultured Glomeromycotina
Lineage: Eukaryota; Fungi; Glomeromycota
Description: SSU rRNA
Rfam family: Eukaryotic small subunit ribosomal RNA
Source: RNAcentral
AGCAGCCGCGGUAAUUCCAGCUCCAAUAGCGUAUAUUAAAGUUGUUGCAGUUAAAAAGCUCGUAGUUGAAUUUCGGGAUUUUAUCGUUGGUCAGGCUAUUGUCUGUACUGGCGUAUAGAAUUUCUACCUUCUGGGGAACUAUCAUGUUAUUAAUUUAGCGUGGUAGGAAACCAGGACCUUUACCUUGAAAAAAUUAGAGUGUUCAAAGCAGGCUUAUGUCUGAAUACAUUAGCAUGGAAUAAUAAAAUAGGACGGUGGUCCUGUUUUGUUGGUUUCUGAAUCACCGUAAUGAUUAAUAGGGAUAGUUGGGGGCAUUAGUAUUCAAUUGUCAGAGGUGAAAUUCUUGGAUUUAUUGAAGACUAACUACUGCGAAAGCAUUUGCCAAGGAUGUUUUCAUUAAUCAAGAACGAAAGUUAGGGGAUCGAAGACGAUCAGAUACCGUCGUAGUCUUAACCAUAAACUAUGCCGACUAGGGAUCGGACGAUGUUAACUUUCUUGACUCGUUCGGCGCCUUACGGGA